Molecule: long non-coding RNA, 486 nt
Organism: Mustela putorius furo (domestic ferret)
Lineage: Eukaryota; Metazoa; Chordata; Mammalia; Carnivora; Mustelidae
Source: Ensembl
UGGUAUUUCGUUUGGCAGGCGUUGAGCCACUGCCACAGCCCGGAUUUUCCUGCAGGCAGAGCCCGGCCUUGUUUUGACAGUCAUUUCUGCUGCUUUCUGCUUCUGCCUGGAAGGAUCACACAGUUGCAGAGGUCUGGGGAGGGAUGCACUUGCGGAGAUUCAAAUUGUCAAAGGAAGCUUCCAUCAAAACAAUUAGGAGACCUCAGGCUGUUGUCUUCUGGAAACUUCCUUCGACCAGCAACAGUUUCCCACCCACCAUGCCACUCCCAACAUCCAAAUGGUUUCCAAAGCUGCAGUCAGGCUAGUACAAAUGGGGCUUCUGUCACUUGAAACCGAAAGAGUCCUAGGAAUGUCACCUGACUCCCUUUCACUCACUGUGAGCUGUGGAAUCCCUGUGACUGCACUCCGUCAGCUUCUUGUUUACAGGUGGGCUCGCUUUAAGAAAGCUUGAUAUAUUAAAAAGCAAAUAAUCAAGUCUGAAAAAUU